This 132-nucleotide ribosomal RNA is filed under the name Escherichia coli. Its description in RNAcentral is "partial 23S ribosomal RNA". The stretch from base 1 to 114 matches the Rfam family "Bacterial large subunit ribosomal RNA", at positions 2809 to 2925 of the family's 2925-position model. The record is from RNAcentral. Lineage: Bacteria; Pseudomonadati; Pseudomonadota; Gammaproteobacteria; Enterobacterales; Enterobacteriaceae.
GACUCCUUGAGAGUCCUGAAGGAACGUUGAAGACGACGACGUUGAUAGGCCGGGUGUGUAAGCGCAGCGAUGCGUUGAGCUAACCGGUACUAAUGAACCGUGAGACUUAACCUUACAACGCCGAAGGUGUUU